UGCAUAAGGUGAAAAGUGAGUGGAAAUUGUAAAAGCUGAAUGAGUAAGUCUUUAGACUAUAGUCUUUAACUAAAGACUAAGACUAAGCCUAUAGCCUAUAGUCUUUAGACCUUUAGACUGUAGUAUCGUCUUAGGCUAUAGGUGCUGGGCAAGUAAGCCAGUAUUGAACGUAGAUUUUUCUAAGACCUGUUAAAGCAAGGGAUCUUUGUUUCUUAAAUUCUUCUGAUAUAAAAAUGCUUCAUUGAUCUUCUUUGAAACACUGUCCUCUCCUUUUUAGGUAACCUAAAGUUUUUCUCAAAAAAAUAUGAGAGCAUUUGUUUUAUGAAUGAGUACUGAGAAACAAGAUGAAGUGAAUUGUUAAUCAUUCAGCACAUUUGUGUCACAGUUAGAUUUUGGAGUCACCCCUCAAAGUUAUAAUGAUCUGUAAUUAGCUUGAAGAAAUUGUAGAUUAUCAAGAACUGAUUAGAAUCUACUUGUUUUUGCUUCUUUUGGAAAUGUUGGGUAUAUUCUGGUCCCCUUUUACACAAAGUUUUUGAAAACUUUUUAAAAUACUCUUCCACAUUAGCAUAGUACUAUCUUUCUGAUCAUUUCUUCUCAAUUUGAUAGAGGAAAAAAGUUAGGUCAAGAUAACAGAGACUGGGAUAUA
Molecule: small RNA, 646 nt
Filed under: Pan troglodytes (chimpanzee)
Lineage: Eukaryota; Metazoa; Chordata; Mammalia; Primates; Hominidae
Description: sense intronic
Source: RNAcentral